UAAGGAGGGUGCAAGCGUUAUCCGGAAUCACUGGGUUUAAAGGGUGCGUAGGCGGCUGCAUAAGUCAGGGGUGAAAGUUUGUCGCUUAACGAUAGAAUUGCCUUUGAUACUGUGCGGCUUGAAAUUAGGUGAGGUUGGCGGAAUGUGACAUGUAGCGGUGAAAUGCGUAGAUAUGUCAUAGAACACCGAUUGCGAAGGCAGCUGGCUAACCUAAAUUUGACGCUGAGGCACGAAAGCGUGGGUAGCAAACAUG
Molecule: ribosomal RNA, 253 nt
Filed under: uncultured bacterium
Lineage: Bacteria
Description: partial 16S ribosomal RNA
Rfam family: Bacterial small subunit ribosomal RNA
Source: RNAcentral